UUUUAACAUGCAAGUCGAGCGGUAACAGACAUAAAGAUUCAGCUUGCUGAAUCCGGUGCUGACGAGCGGCGAACGGGUGAGUAACGCGUAGGAAUCUACCCAGUAGCGGGGGAUAGCCCGAGGAAACUCGGAUUAAUACCGCAUACGCCCUGAGGGGGAAAGGGGGCAAUUUAUUGCUCUCACUAUUGGAUGAGCCUGCGUAAGAUUAGCUUGUUGGUAGGGUAAUGGCCUACCAAGGCGACGAUCUUUAGCUGGUCUGAGAGGACGAUCAGCCACAUUGGGACUGAGACACGGCCCAGACAUCUACGGAUGGCAGCAGUUAAGAAUAUUGGACAAUGGGGGCAACCCUGAUCCAGGUAUACCGCGUGUGUGAAGAAGGCCCUAGGGUUGUAAAGCACUUUAAUCAGAGAAGAAGCAUUUUAAGUUAAUACCUUAAUUUGUUGACGUUAACUGAAGAAUAAGGACCGGCUAACUCCGUGCCAGCAGCCGCGGUAAUACGGAGGGUCCAAGCGUUAAUCGGAAUUACUGGGCGUAAAGCGCGCGUAGGCGGUUUAGCAAGUUGUAUGUGAAAGCCCUGGGCUCAACCUAGGAACUGCAUCCAAAACUACUAAGCUAGAGUGCGAGAGAGGAGAGUAGAAUUUCUGGUGUAGCGGUGAAAUGCGUAGAUAUCAGAAGGAAUACCAAUGGCGAAGGCAGCUCUCUGGCUCGUCACUGACGCUGAGGUGCGAAAGCGUGGGUAGCAAACAGGAUUAGAUACCCUGGUAGUCCACGCCGUAAACGAUGACAACUAGCCGUUGGGCAGAUUUAACUGU
This 812-nucleotide ribosomal RNA is filed under the name uncultured Gammaproteobacteria bacterium. Its description in RNAcentral is "bacterial SSU rRNA". It matches the Rfam family "Bacterial small subunit ribosomal RNA", at positions 48 to 839 of the family's 1533-position model. Lineage: Bacteria; Pseudomonadati; Pseudomonadota; Gammaproteobacteria. The record is from RNAcentral.